RNAcentral lists this small RNA (562 nucleotides) under Arabidopsis thaliana (thale cress). RNAcentral's name for it is "ATSL139760". The record is from RNAcentral. Lineage: Eukaryota; Viridiplantae; Streptophyta; Magnoliopsida; Brassicales; Brassicaceae.
UUGAACCUUCGUAUUCACUCCUUUAAUUUAAAUCAAUAAUUUUGAGAAAACAAAAUUUGUAGAUUUUUAAUUAAAUAAAGUUAAUUAUCUGUAGAAUUUGAACUUUAUAAUCAAACGAAAUUAUAUAUCGGUUUUGAGUUUAUAUAUAUGAAUUAGGUUUUAGAUUUUACAAUUAAAUAAAAUUUUAUAUUGGUUUGGGAUUACAAAUGUGGAUUAGGGUUUUGAUUUUACAAUUAAAUAAAACUUAUGUCGGUUUAAUAAGUGUUAUGGCAUUAGUUACUUGGUCUAUGACCAGACCACCCUAAUGUUGUGUCCUGGCGACGAUGAAACUGGACCGGCUUGCAUCUAUAUUGUCACGGGAGAUUUUUUCAAGAAGAUUCAAAUUGGUUUUGGUUUCUGGUGUUUUCAUUGUGUUUAUUCUCCCAGUUUUGUCCUAGUUCCUUUAGGUUAAGAUUGCAAGUCUAAUAAUUUUAUCACAUUUUCUUGAACUUUGUUCAUGUCUCUGUUUUCUUAGUCUUAAGUCAGUUUGUCUAAAAUUUUCUUGAUGAUAAAAAUAUAGACU